GGGACACGUGGUAUCCUGUCUGAAUAUGGGGGGACCAUCCUCCAAGGCUAAAUACUCCUGACUGACCGAUAGUGAACCAGUACCGUGAGGGAAAGGCGAAAAGAACCCCGGCGAGGGGAGUGAAAAAGAACCUGAAACCGUGUACGUACAAGCAGUGGGAGCCUCUUUAUGGGGUGACUGCGUACCUUUUGUAUAAUGGGUCAGCGACUUAUAUUCUGUAGCAAGGUUAACCGAAUAGGGGAGCCGAAGGGAAACCGAGUCUUAACUGGGCGUUAAGUUGCAGGGUAUAGACCCGAAACCCGGUGAUCUAGCCAUGGGCAGGUUGAAGGUUGGGUAACACUAACUGGAGGACCGAACCGACUAAUGUUGAAAAAUUAGCGGAUGACUUGUGGCUGGGGGUGAAAGGCCAAUCAAACCGGGAGAUAGCUGGUUCUCCCCGAAAGCUAUUUAGGUAGCGCCUCGUGAAUUCAUCUCCGGGGGUAGAGCACUGUUUCGGCAAGGGGGUCAUCCCGACUUACCAACCCGAUGCAAACUGCGAAUACCGGAGAAUGUUAUCACGGGAGACACACGGCGGGUGCUAACGUCCGUCGUGAAGAGGGAAACAACCCAGACCGCCAGCUAAGGUCCCAAAGUCAUGGUUAAGUGGGAAACGAUGUGGGAAGGCCCAGACAGCCAGGAUGUUGGCUUAGAAGCAGCCAUCAUUUAAAGAAAGCGUAAUAGCUCACUGGUCGAGUCGGCCUGCGCGGAAGAUGUAACGGGGCUAAACCAUGCACCGAAGCUGCGGCAGCGACACUAUGUGUUGUUGGGUAGGGGAGCGUUCUGUAAGCCUGUGAAGGUGUGCUGUGAGGUAUGCUGGAGGUAUCAGAAGUGCGAAUGCUGACAUAAGUAACGAUAAAGCGGGUGAAAAGCCCGCUCGCCGGAAGACCAAGGGUUCCUGUCCAACGUUAAUCGGGGCAGGGUGAGUCGACCCCUAAGGCGAGGCCGAAAGGCGUAGUCGAUGGGAAACAGGUUAAUAUUCCUGUACUUGGUGUUACUGCGAAGGGGGGACGGAGAAGGCUAUGUUGGCCGGGCGACGGUUGUCCCGGUUUAAGCGUGUAGGCUGGUUUUCCAGGCAAAUCCGGAAAAUCAAGGCUGAGGCGUGAUGACGAGGCACUACGGUGCUGAAGCAACAAAUGCCCUGCUUCCAGGAAAAGCCUCUAAGCAUCAGGUAACAUCAAAUCGUACCCCAAACCGACACAGGUGGUCAGGUAGAGAAUACCAAGGCGCUUGAGAGAACUCGGGUGAAGGAACUAGGCAAAAUGGUGCCGUAACUUCGGGAGAAGGCACGCUGAUAUGUAGGUGAAGUCCCUUGCGGAUGGAGCUGAAAUCAGUCGAAGAUACCAGCUGGCUGCAACUGUUUAUUAAAAACACAGCACUGUGCAAACACGAAAGUGGACGUAUACGGUGUGACGCCUGCCCGGUGCCGGAAGGUUAAUUGAUGGGGUUAGCGGUAACGCGAAGCUCUUGAUCGAAGCCCCGGUAAACGGCGGCCGUAACUAUAACGGUCCUAAGGUAGCGAAAUUCCUUGUCGGGUAAGUUCCGACCUGCACGAAUGGCGUAAUGAUGGCCAGGCUGUCUCCACCCGAGACUCAGUGAAAUUGAACUCGCUGUGAAGAUGCAGUGUACCCGCGGCAAGACGGAAAGACCCCGUGAACCUUUACUAUAGCUUGACACUGAACAUUGAACCUUGAUGUGUAGGAUAGGUGGGAGGCUUUGAAGUGUGGACGCCAGUCUGCAUGGAGCCGACCUUGAAAUACCACCCUUUAAUGUUUGAUGUUCUAACGUUGGCCCCUGAUCGGGGUUGCGGACAGUGUCUGGUGGGUAGUUUGACUGGGGCGGUCUCCUCCUAAAGAGUAACGGAGGAGCACGAAGGUUGGCUAAUCCUGGUCGGACAUCAGGAGGUUAGUGCAAUGGCAUAAGCCAGCUUGACUGCGAGCGUGACGGCGCGAGCAGGUGCGAAAGCAGGUCAUAGUGAUCCGGUGGUUCUGAAUGGAAGGGCCAUCGCUCAACGGAUAAAAGGUACUCCGGGGAUAACAGGCUGAUACCGCCCAAGAGUUCAUAUCGACGGCGGUGUUUGGCACCUCGAUGUCGGCUCAUCACAUCCUGGGGCUGAAGUAGGUCCCAAGGGUAUGGCUGUUCGCCAUUUAAAGUGGUACGCGAGCUGGGUUUAGAACGUCGUGAGACAGUUCGGUCCCUAUCUGCCGUGGGCGCUGGAGAACUGAGGGGGGCUGCUCCUAGUACGAGAGGACCGGAGUGGACGCAUCACUGGUGUUCGGGUUGUCAUGCCAAUGGCACUGCCCGGUAGCUAAAUGCGGAAGAGAUAAGUGCUGAAAGCAUCUAAGCACGAAACUUGCCCCGAGAUGAGUUCUCCCUGACCCUUUAAGGGUCCUGAAGGAACGUUGAAGACGACGACGUUGAUAGGCCGGGUGUGUAAGCGCAGCGAUGCGUUGAGCUAACCGGUACUAAUGAACCGUGAGGCUUAACCUUACAAC
RNAcentral lists this ribosomal RNA (2531 nucleotides) under Escherichia coli. RNAcentral describes it as "partial 23S ribosomal RNA". It matches the Rfam family "Bacterial large subunit ribosomal RNA", at positions 419 to 2925 of the family's 2925-position model. The record is from RNAcentral. Lineage: Bacteria; Pseudomonadati; Pseudomonadota; Gammaproteobacteria; Enterobacterales; Enterobacteriaceae.